RNAcentral lists this ribosomal RNA (460 nucleotides) under uncultured bacterium. RNAcentral describes it as "partial 16S ribosomal RNA". It matches the Rfam family "Bacterial small subunit ribosomal RNA", at positions 338 to 795 of the family's 1533-position model. The record is from RNAcentral.
CCUACGGGUGGCAGCAGUGAGGAAUAUUGGUCAAUGGGCGUAAGCCUGAACCAGCCAAGUCGCGUGAGGGAUGACGGUUCUAUGGAUCGUAAACCUCUUUUGUAAGGGAGUAAAGUGCGGGACGUGUCCCGUUUUGCAUGUACCUUAUGAAAAAGGAUCGGCUAACUCCGUGCCAGCAGCCGCGGUAAUACGGAGGAUCCGAGCGUUAUCCGGAUUUAUUGGGUUUAAAGGGUGCGUAGGCGGGCUUUUAAGUCAGCGGUGAAAUUUUGUGGCUCAACCACGGCCGUGCCGUUGAAACUGGCAGGCUUGAGUAUGUGAGAGGCAGGCGGAAUGCGUGGUGUAGCGGUGAAAUGCUUAGAUAUCACGCAGAACCCCGAUUGCGAAGGCAGCAUGCCAAGCCAUGACUGACGCUGAUGCACGAAAGCGUGGGGAUCAAACAGGAUUAGAUACCCUAGUAGUC